Molecule: ribosomal RNA, 466 nt
Filed under: uncultured bacterium
Lineage: Bacteria
Description: bacterial SSU rRNA
Rfam family: Bacterial small subunit ribosomal RNA
Source: RNAcentral
GACGAACGCUGGCGGCGUGCCUAACACAUGCAAGUCAACUUGACUGAAGGAGCAAUCUGACAGUAGAGUGGCGCAAGGGUGCGUAACGCGUAAGUAACUUGCCCAAGGUAAGGAAUAACGUCGAGAAAUCGGCGCUAAUACCUCAUAAUGCAGCGGAUCCGCAUGGAUAUGUUGUUAAAGGUUUAACCGGCCUUGGGAUAGGCUUGCGUCUGAUUAGCUAGUUGGUGUGGUAACGGCACACCAAGGACUACGAUCAGUAACUGGUCUGAGAGGAUGAUCAGUCACACUGGAACUGAGACACGGUCCAGACUCCUACGGGAGGCAGCAGUGAGGAAUAUUGGGCAAUGCUCGAAAGAGUGACCCAGCAACGCCGCGUGGAGGAUGAAGGUAUUCUAUAUCGUAAACUCCUGUGAGAGCAGACGAAAGAACAGAUUAUUAAUCUGGAUGACUGUAUGCUCAGAGGAAG